Molecule: long non-coding RNA, 1729 nt
Organism: Macaca fascicularis (crab-eating macaque)
Lineage: Eukaryota; Metazoa; Chordata; Mammalia; Primates; Cercopithecidae
Source: Ensembl
UUUUUUUUUUUUUUUUUUUUUGAGACGGAGUCUCGCUUUGUCUCCCGGGCUGGAGUGCAGUGGACGGAUCUCAGCUCACUGCAAGCUCUGCCUCCCGGAUUCACACCAUUCUCCUGCCUCAGCCUCCCGAGUAGCUGGGACUACAGGCGCCCGCCACCUCGCCUGGUUAGUUUUUUGUAUUUUUUAGUAGAGACGGGGUUUCACCAUGUUCGCCAGGAUGGUCUCGAUCUCCUGACCUCGUGAUCCACCCGUCUCGGCCUCCCAAAGUGCUGGGAUUACAGGCUUGAGCCACCGCGCCCGGCCAUUGUUUUUUUUUUUUUUUUUUUGAGAUAGGGUCUCCCUCUGCCACGCAGGCUGGAGUGCAGUGGCACAAUCUUGGCUCACUGCAACCUCUGCCUCCUGGGCUCAGCCGGUCCUCCCACUUCAGCCUCCUGAGUAGCUGGGAUUACAGGUGCAUGCCACCAUCCCAGGUAAUUUUUGUGUUUUUUGUAGAGAUGGGGUUUCAUCACAUUGCCUAGGCUGGUCUCAAAAUCCUGGACUCAAGUGAUCUGCUGGCCUCAGCCUCCCAAACUGCUAGGACUAUAGGCCUGAACGACCACCCCUGACUGUAAACGUUUUCUUAGCUCAAGGAUUGCUGAAUUUGUAUCCAUUUUCUUCUCCCCUAUCUCAGUUGGGUCUGUGAAAUGAUACUGUUAACUGUUUUCUGUUACUUUCAAUGUUUCUUUCUGGCAAACUGAGGGCAUAGUAAUACUGUAGCAGCUAACAACCAUAUGGGUCCUGAGGGCUUUACUAAUGUUAUUUUUUAAUCUUCCUAAUUGCAGGUGUUUUAUUAUUAGCUUCAUUUUAUAGAUGAGAAAACUGGGCACAGAGAGGCUGAGUUACUUGCUCAAGUUCAUACAGGCGGUCAGUAGUAGAGCUAGGAUUUGAACCCAGCGGUCAGCCUCCAGAGUUCAUGUUAUUUUUAUUUAUUUAUUUUUUUGAGACAAGGUCUUGCUCUGCCACCCAGACUGGAGUACAGUGUAGUGAUUUCAGCUCACUGCAGCCUUGACACCCCCGGGCUUCAGUGAUCCUCCUGCCUCAGUCUCUUGAGUAGCUGGGACUACAGGCACACAUCACGAUGCCUGGCUAAUUUUUGUAUAUUUUGUAGAGACGGAGUUUUCCCGUAUUGACGAGGCUGGUCUCAAACUUCUGGGAUCAAAGGAUGUGCCCAUGUUAGCCUCCAAAAAUGCCGGGAUUAUAGGUGUGAGCUGCCGAGUCCAUGUUCUUAACCACACUGAACCUCCUCCAAAUAUUAUUUAAGAUUUAUGAUUUACGAUGUGCCAGGCUGAGACCCCGGAGCUUAGGCUCUUCUCCACCAUGCUGCACUUACCAGCUGUGCUACCUUGGACAAGUCAUUUUCCUCAGGGCUUAGGUUAUAACAAUAACUGUUUACUAAAUGCCCACUCCGUGAUUGGCACCUGGCCUAAUCCAUCAUCAUCACCAUCCGGGCUAACGUGUCCUGAGCGCUUUCUGUGUGCCAGGCACUGUUCUAAGCAUUUUAACACUGCAAGGUUGAUUUGUUGUCCCUCUUUUUUUUUUUUUCUUUGAGAUGGAGUCUCGCUCUGUUGCCCAGGCUGGAGUGUAGUGACAUAAUCUCAGCUCACUGCAACCUCCACCUCCUGGGUUCAAGCAAUUCUUCUGCCUCAGCCUCCAGAGUAGCUGGGACUACAGGCACACACCACCACACCUA